Molecule: long non-coding RNA, 669 nt
Organism: Erinaceus europaeus (western European hedgehog)
Lineage: Eukaryota; Metazoa; Chordata; Mammalia; Eulipotyphla; Erinaceidae
Exons: 3
Source: RefSeq, a predicted model, not a curated record
AGAAACUGGAUGAGGUGUCUAUCCAAAUGCUAUCAGAAAGUACUCAGGAGGAACACUCAGCUAACAGGAUAUUCAGGGCCACACUUUUCAUUUCCAGCCACAGCACCUAAGUACAGAAGUCACCGAGGUGCAUCUCUUUCAUUCUGGGAGAUCUGUGCUAAUCUAGGAGAAAAAUCAAGAAGGAGUAGGCGACACCAUGACAGCAUGCUGGGCUCCGAGGUUCUGAACCACUGCUGGUCAUUGUCUUUUUAGAGGUCCACACCAGAGAUGGGAAGAGCUGAUCGACAUGGACAUCCAGGCUACACCUAAGAAUGAAGGGCAGGUGUGGCUUGUCACCAGUGAGAGUCAGCACAGACUCAAGCCAUCAAGUUGCAGACGCUAUCACGAUUCCAUCCUGACUUCCCUGGGCAGACAACCUCACCGUGUGUCUUCACUAACUCUAGAGCCCUAGCCCACUAUGGAAAGAUACAAACAGGCUGGGAGUAUGAAUCAACUUGCUGAUGCCCAUGUCCAGUGGAGAAGCUAUUUACAGAAGCCAGAACUCCCAUUUUAUGCACCCCCAAAAUAAUCAUGAUCCAUACUCCUAGUGGGGGAGAUGACCGAAUGGCUCUGAAUUGCAGCUCCAUCAGGACCCAGAGAGAGAGGAGGAAAGAAGAAAGGACAUUUGAA